Long non-coding RNA from Bubalus bubalis (water buffalo), 852 nucleotides. RefSeq lists it as uncharacterized. The record is from RefSeq and is a predicted model, not a curated record. NCBI's taxonomy places the organism in Eukaryota, Metazoa, Chordata, Mammalia, Artiodactyla, Bovidae. The transcript is spliced from 3 exons.
CUUGGCCUUUACUGGGGGCUGUUUGGGAUUUUGUUGGCUUGUUUGCUUGGGUGUUUAUCUCCUCUACAUUUCUCGAGCGCAGUCCUACCAUCUCUUUUUCAUCUUUGUAUCCAUGUUACCUGGCAUGGAACAGAAGCUUAAUCAAUAUUUACCAGUUGCUAGGGGCAAUGCUGGUGAUAGUUAUAUGAAGUACAGCUAAGUGAUAGAACAUUCUCCUAGCCUUAGACAGUUGUGACAUUCUCUGGGAAAUUCCAGUCCAGAUCUUGGACCCUCUAGUCAGGCUAGUCAAGAGUGGGACAUCUCCUAGUGUCUUCUCUAAGAGAGAUGCACAAACCUUAUAGUUUAUAGAAAGGGCUCUGGAGCCAGAUGACCCAGACCAGAAUCCUGGCUCCACUUCAAGCUGCAUGAGCUUGAGUAUGGUUGAUACUUAUUGUCUGGAACCUCAUCAGAUACCAUGGCAGGAACUGUAAGCAACAAGCAUCCAAAAGGCUGAGGGGACCUAAAGCCAAGUUGGAGAUGCAACGUGAAUACCGGAUUAGAGCAGAGGGGAGGCUACAGAAGAAAGAAAGAAAGGAGGAAGGAAAGAGGAAGACAGAAAGAGAGAACGAAAGAAAAAGGAAGGAAGGAAGAAAACCAACCUGGAGAUAACUCAUAGCCUCAUAGCAAGCGCCAUAUGAGUCAUUUAAGAAAAAAAAAAAAAAGCCACCACAACCUUCAGCAGAAGAGAACCAUUGAGCUCAAGUUGGGGAAAAAAAUAUGUAUCUAUGUAUGUAUGUGUGUGUGUGUGUGUGUAUAUAUAUAUGUAUAUAUCUUUCCCAAUAGGAAUAAAGCUAAUUCUCCAAAACUUUGUAA